GACGAACGCUGGCGGCGUGCUUAACACAUGCAAGUCGAACGGAAAGGCCCUGCUUUUGUGGGGUGCUCGAGUGGCGAACGGGUGAGUAACACGUGAGUAACCUGCCCUUGACUUUGGGAUAACUUCAGGAAACUGGGGCUAAUACCGGAUAGGAGCUCCUGCUGCAUGGUGGGGGUUGGAAAGUUUCGGCGGUUGGGGAUGGACUCGCGGCUUAUCAGCUUGUUGGUGGGGUAGUGGCUUACCAAGGCUUUGGCGGGUAGCCGGCCUGAGAGGGUGACCGGCCACAUUGGGACUGAGAUACGGCCCAGACUCCUACGGGAGGCAGCAGUGGGGAAUAUUGCACAAUGGGCGGAAGCCUGAAGCAGCAACGCCGCGUGCGGGAUGACGGCCUUCGGGUUGUAAACCGCUUUCGCCUGUGACGAAGCGUGAGUGACGGUAAUGGGUAAAGAAGCACCGGCUAACUACGUG
This 468-nucleotide ribosomal RNA is filed under the name uncultured bacterium. RNAcentral describes it as "partial 16S ribosomal RNA". It matches the Rfam family "Bacterial small subunit ribosomal RNA", at positions 28 to 507 of the family's 1533-position model. The record is from RNAcentral.